Molecule: non-coding RNA, 84 nt
Organism: Jimgerdemannia flammicorona
Lineage: Eukaryota; Fungi; Mucoromycota; Endogonomycetes; Endogonales; Endogonaceae
Source: the annotation of a GenBank genome assembly
AGAGAUUUAGUUUAAUGGUAAAACAUGAUUACUUCUACUAGUAAAAGUAGUGAUCAUUUCCUUGUUCGAUUCCUGGAGUCUCUA